UACGUAGGGGGCGAGCGUUGUCCGGAUUCAUUGGGCGUAAAGAGCUCGUAGGCGGCUUGGCAAGCCGGGUGUGAAAACUCCAGGCUCAACCUGGAGACGCCACCCGGGACUGCUAUGGCUAGAGUCCGGUAGGGGAUCACGGAAUUCCUGGUGUAGCGGUGAAAUGCGCAGAUAUCAGGAGGAACACCGGUGGCGAAGGCGGAUCUCUGGGCCAUUACUGACGCUGAGGAGCGAAAGCGUGGAGAGCGAACAGG
RNAcentral lists this ribosomal RNA (254 nucleotides) under uncultured bacterium. RNAcentral's name for it is "partial 16S ribosomal RNA". It matches the Rfam family "Bacterial small subunit ribosomal RNA", at positions 524 to 776 of the family's 1533-position model. The record is from RNAcentral.